This 419-nucleotide unclassified non-coding RNA is filed under the name fungal sp. RNAcentral describes it as "partial internal transcribed spacer region". The stretch from base 1 to 46 matches the Rfam family "Eukaryotic small subunit ribosomal RNA", at positions 1786 to 1831 of the family's 1831-position model. The record is from RNAcentral. Lineage: Eukaryota; Fungi.
AAGUCGUAACAAGGUAACCGUAGGUGAACCUGCGGUUGGAUCAUUAUGGUAAAUGAAGUCGGAGACCGGGCGUUAAAAACUCGGUCUUUGCACUUUUGCUACCCCUUUGUGAAUGUUUAUUGUAUUUUUGGCAGCCUGACGUUAAGUAAUGGCAUGUUGUUCGGGGGGUGAUAGUAGAGUCUUUUGGCGUUCUUUUUGGACGAUGGAGGACUUUGUUAUUUUCACUCGAAUAAUGUGUUUCGUUGUUUAACGUUGAAGAUGGCCUGGGGGUUCGCCCUUAGUCCAUUGGUCUGCCAAAGUUUUUUAACUGACCUAUUAUUUUAUUACCUUUGUCGUUCAGUAUUGAAAGGACUGUUAAAAGUUCUUUUGAGCUGUCAGAAAAAUUAUUACAACUUUAGACAAUGGAUCUCUUGGCUCUC